RNAcentral lists this ribosomal RNA (468 nucleotides) under uncultured bacterium. Its description in RNAcentral is "partial 16S ribosomal RNA". It matches the Rfam family "Bacterial small subunit ribosomal RNA", at positions 28 to 507 of the family's 1533-position model. The record is from RNAcentral.
GACGAACGCUGGCGGCGUGCUUAACACAUGCAAGUCGAACGGAAAGGCCCUGCUUUUGUGGGGUGCUCGAGUGGCGAACGGGUGAGUAACACGUGAGUAACCUGCCCUUGACUUUGGGAUAACUUCAGGAAACUGGGGCUAAUACCGGAUAGGAGCUCCUGAUGCAUGGUGGGGGUUGGAAAGUUUCGGCGGUUGGGGAUGGUCUCGAGGGUUAUCAGCUUGUUGGGGGGGUAGGGGAUUACCAAGGCUUUGACGGGUAGCCGGCCUGGGAGGGGGGACGGCCACAAUGGGACUGAGAGACGGAGCAGACUCCUACGGGAGGCAGCAGGGGGGAGUAUGACACAAUGGGCGGAAGCCUGAUGCAACGACGCCGCGUGCGUGAUGACGGCCUUCUGGUUGUAAACCGCUUUCGCCUGUAACGAAGCGUGAGUGACGGUAAUUGGUAAAGAAGCACCGGCUAACUACGUG